Molecule: ribosomal RNA, 441 nt
Filed under: uncultured bacterium
Lineage: Bacteria
Description: bacterial SSU rRNA
Rfam family: Bacterial small subunit ribosomal RNA
Source: RNAcentral
AACGCGAAGAACCUUACCAGGGCUUGACAUCCUGCGCUCACCUAAGAGAUUAGGUUUCCCAGCAAUGGGACGCAGAGACAGGUGCUGCAUGGCUGUCGUCAGCUCGUGCCGUGAGAUGUUGGGUUAAGUCCCGCAACGAGCGCAACCCCCGUCCUUAGUUGCUACCAUUUAGUUGAGCACUCUAAGGAGACUGCCGGUGAUAAGCCGCGAGGAAGGUGGGGAUGACGUCAAGUCCUCAUGGCCCUUACGGGCUGGGCUACACACGUGCUACAAUGGCGGUGACAAUGGGACGCUAAGGGGCAACCCUUCGCAAAUCUCAAAAAGCCGUCUCAGUUCGGAUUGGGCUCUGCAACUCGAGCCCAUGAAGUUGGAAUCGCUAGUAAUCGUGGAUCAGCAUGCCACGGUGAAUACGUUCCCGGGCCUUGUACACACCGACUGUAC